GUCUACGGCCAUACCACCCUGAACACACCAGAUCUCAUCUGAUCUCAGAAGCCAAGCAGGGUCAGGCCUGGUUAGUACUUGGAUGGGAGAAAUUCUCAAUUCAAAUGAGAAUAGUUGGGAAAUAAUGAAU
RNAcentral lists this ribosomal RNA (130 nucleotides) under Nannospalax galili (Upper Galilee mountains blind mole rat). The record is from RNAcentral. Lineage: Eukaryota; Metazoa; Chordata; Mammalia; Rodentia; Spalacidae.